GACGUAGGGUGCAAGCGUUGCUCGGAAUUACUGGGCGUAAAGGGCGCGUAGGCGGCUUGGUAAGCGGGAUGUGAAAGCCCCCGGCUCAACCGGGGAAGAGCAUUCCGAACUGCCUUGCUUGAGUUCGAGAGAGGGUGGUGGAAUUCCCGGUGGAACGGUGAAAUGUGUAGAUAUCGGGAGGAACAUCUGUGGCGAAGGCGGCCACCUGGCUCGAUACUGACGCUGAAGCGCGAAAGCGUGGGUAGCAAACAGG
RNAcentral lists this ribosomal RNA (253 nucleotides) under uncultured bacterium. RNAcentral describes it as "partial 16S ribosomal RNA". It matches the Rfam family "Bacterial small subunit ribosomal RNA", at positions 524 to 776 of the family's 1533-position model. The record is from RNAcentral.